AGAAGUUUUGCUUGAAAAUGGAGGAAAAACAUAUUGCUUAAAUGAUGGGAAACAUAUUGAGCCUCCCUUUGCACCAAAAAUUUGAAAGGGAUGGGUAAGGAUUAGGGGAAGGGGAAAAACUAAGCAAAUAAGAUAAAGAAGCACAAAGGUUAAAUAAAUAUACAAUAUGAUUCUACUUUCAUAUAUCUUUUUUCUAAUUCUUUGCUCUAAGACGUCUG
Molecule: unclassified non-coding RNA, 218 nt
Filed under: Hevea brasiliensis (rubber tree)
Lineage: Eukaryota; Viridiplantae; Streptophyta; Magnoliopsida; Malpighiales; Euphorbiaceae
Source: RNAcentral